GGGAGUGUACCCAAGCGGCCAAAGGGGACAGACUGUAAAUCUGUUGGCUCAUGCCUUCGGAGGUUCGAAUCCUCCCGCUCCCA
This 83-nucleotide transfer RNA is filed under the name Planctomycetaceae bacterium. RNAcentral's name for it is "tRNA-Tyr". It matches the Rfam family "tRNA". From Rfam's summary of the family: Transfer RNA (tRNA) molecules are approximately 80 nucleotides in length. Their secondary structure includes four short double-helical elements and three loops (D, anti-codon, and T loops). Lineage: Bacteria; Pseudomonadati; Planctomycetota; Planctomycetia; Planctomycetales; Planctomycetaceae. The record is from RNAcentral.